CACGGAGUUAGCCGGUGCUUCCUUUGAAGGUACCGUCAGACUAGGGCUGAUUAGCACCCUAGCGGUUCUUCCCUUCUGACAGAGGUUUACGACCCGAAGGCCUUCAUCCCUCACGCGGCAUUGCUGCGUCAGGCUUUCGCCCAUUGCGCAAUAUUCCCCA
RNAcentral lists this ribosomal RNA (160 nucleotides) under uncultured bacterium. Its description in RNAcentral is "partial 16S ribosomal RNA". The record is from RNAcentral.